This is a long non-coding RNA of Acinonyx jubatus (cheetah), 4251 nucleotides long. RefSeq lists it as uncharacterized. The record is from RefSeq and is a predicted model, not a curated record. The transcript is spliced from 2 exons. NCBI's taxonomy places the organism in Eukaryota, Metazoa, Chordata, Mammalia, Carnivora, Felidae.
CCACUCAGGCAUUCAGGGGGGAGGAUCCUAAUGGGCAGAAGGAGCUUUGCUUCUCCAAGCUGUUCAACACUCCAGUGCUUAAAAAACAAACAAACAAACCAUAUUCAGACAUUUUUUAAAAUAAUUUUUUUUUCUUAUUUCAAAGGCAAAUCAUGUUUAUUCUGGGGAAUUCAUACAAACAAAAAGAAGAAAAAAGUUAUCCAAAAUUCCACAGCUACAGGACUCCUGGAAACAUUUUGGAGUCUAUCCUUUCAAAGUUUUUUCUAGGCAAUAAGUACAUCCAGUGAUAGGUCUUGUACAACCAAUGAGAUCAAAUGGUACAUACUGUUCUGUAACCUGAUCUUUCUCACGGAACAGUUUUCCAUGUCAGCAAAUGAACGUUAUCUAAUGUCACAAUGGGUGACAUCGUCAGGUGCCCAGGGGGCUGGACACAGGCACUCACCAUGCCCUCCCUGGGUGGAGACUGGUAGUUUCUUUCUGUGAACAGGGAUUCAGUGAGCGACUUUGUAGUCAAGCCUUUAUACAACCCCUGAUUGUUCCCUUACAAUGAAUUCUCAUGUUCAAUGUUAAUUCUCUCAAGGAAAGAAGACAGUAAGUGCAGUGAAAAUGUUUAGGUCGUAAAUAGGCCUCUGAGGUGACAGGGGAUGGAGGUGGGGGGACUGUAACUCAGCAUUAUGCUUUUAUUUCCCAUUCUGUUCAACCACCAAAUCUAUCUCAAAUGCAACCUCAUUUCUAGUCAACAAACUUAGAAAAUAAACAAGACACAACCACUCUCCUUUGAAGAGAUUAUAAUCUAAUAGCAGAGAUAAGAGACACAGUAACUAUAACAAAUGAGUUUUCUCUCUCAAUUUAACACAAAAGUACUUGGCUAUUCACAAUCAGAAUUAAGGAUAAGAUGGAAAUGAUAAUGCUAAUAAUAGCUCAUGUUUAAUGAGAGCUUACUAGGUCCAGGAACUGUUCGUGUAUUAAAUGGCACACUGUGUUAAAUGGCACACAUCAUUAAUUCUCCGUUAGCCCAUGGGGUUGGUAUUACGGUUAUGAACUUUCUCGUGUUGGGUAAAUUGAGGUGCAAAGUGAAAUAGCUUGGCUGGAUAACACAGCUAGCCAGUGGUGGCCCUUUGACACUAGAGCCCUUUACUCUGAAACACACAUCCUUGGGCUGGGAGAGAGGGUCCUAGUGCCCCGGAAUAAGCGUUGUGAUUCAACCUUCUAGAUACUGCGGCCUGAGAACCAGCUUGCUCACGUCCCCCAUGGUGGGGUUCAUGGUGACCAAUCAGUGCACUUCCCACAAACCCAUCAGCUUUCCUCAGGUCCCGGUGGCUGCUUUGGCUGUGGAGAAAGUGGGUCACUCCAGCGUGUAUUAUCACCUUGCUCUGUUUCCACCUAAGGCCACCAAGGAGCUGCCUUCUGUAAAUCACUGGGACCUCAGGGAUGGUUUUUUCUCUGGCCACCCCAAGCUGGUCCAUUUUGACUCUUUGGCCUGUACUAACGGGUCUUCCGUCCAUGUCUUUGUGAAUCCAGCCCCCCGCAAGCCAACGGGCCUUCCAGAAGACUUCAGGAGGGGCCUUCUGAGGCUAGUGAGCCCAGCUUCAGUGUGAAUCCUCUGUAGGUAGGACGUUGCCUGUCAGAAAAUAAAGUUCAGAUUAUUCUCUAGACGAUUUCUUUUGAUUCCUUAGCAUAUUUUUUAACCCUUGAAAUGACUGUCAGCUUCUUACAAGCUUUUAUAACAAGCGUCACCUGGCUUCACUGAUCAAGCAUCUGCUUGUGUCCAGCCAGAGGCAGAGGGCUUUACAGAGUCUCCCUGAGCCCUCUCAGCCAAUGGGGCAGGUACCACUCUCACUGCCUUUUUCAGAAGAGGAAAAGGAAGUUUGCAGAGUGGAAGUAAUUGGCCGAGUGUCCUCCAGUGGGGGGUCCAGCAGACUCUCAGUCACCCGGCUGUGCUUUCUAUGUACAACUUUAUCACCAGUAUCUUAGCAGCACAGCCACAUACUUCCCUGGUUUGGGAUCACUGAUCUGAUAAAUCUCCUCAGCUUCUUACAGUUAAUAAUCAUGUGACAUCUUUUUUUUUUUUUUUAAAGAUGUGACCUUUAUAAAACAACAACACCUUUCUUUCGUAUAUUUAAAACAGCAAACAAGCCUCUGACGAUGUUCUGAUAAAAACACAACCUCCUUCACUAAUGCCAUGGUUGAAGCCUAAAAGUAACCACAAAUAAAUACAAUGUUUGAUGCCCAAAGGACUCUACUUAGGUGUAACAAUAAACGUGGUUACCAUUUACUGAGGGAGCACUGCCUUCACAAAGUGCUUUACAGGCAUUUCCUUGACCAAUCCUUAUUCCUCUUCUAGAAGGUUGGGAUUAUUAUCGCCAUUUUUCAGAUGAAAUCGUUGAGGCUUUAAAGUGAACAGCUGGAGUAAGGGGAGAGAGAGGUUCUAGUCUAACCUCUGUCUCAGUCCCGAGGAAGGGCAAGCUACAAGCUUAAUCUUUCUGAGCUUCAGUUUCCCCAUCUGAAAACAUGACCCCGUGUGACCUUUUUCAGUUGGGUCCCUGGAGUUUUUUUAUGAAUGUACAGACUCUCUUGAUCUGCUUUUUAAUUUACUUUAAUUUUAUUUAAUUUUAUUAUUUUAUUUUAGAGAGAGCAUGAGCAAGGGAGGGGCAGAGAGAGAGAGAGAGAAACAGAAUCCGAAGCAGCCUCCAGGCUCUGAGCCCUCAGCACAGAAGCCCACACGGGGCUCCAACUCACAGGCAGAGAGAUCAUGACCUGAGCCAAAGUCAGACGCUUAACCGACUGAGCCACCCAGGCGCCCCUCUUUUGAUCUGCUUUUGAACAACUAAGAUGGACCGGACCAUUGCUCUCACAUCCUAGCGCGCGAAAGACGGCGUACAAACAAGAACAUAUCAAAUGGUGCAGUUGGCUGAAGGCGGCCCCCCAAAAGCUAUGUCUACCUCCUAACCCCCGGAACCUGUGAAUGUGAUCUUCCUUGGAAAAAUGGGUCUUUGCAGAUUAAGUAAGGAUCUUGAGAGAAGAUCAUCCUGGAUUAUCAGGGUGGUCACUAAAUCCAAUGACAAGUGACUUUCCAAGUCACACAGAAGAGACACAGAGAGGAAGAAAAGGCCAUAAAAUGGGAGGCAGAGAGUGGAGUGAUACAGCCACAACCAAGGAACACGUGGGGCCACUAGACUCUGGAAGCAGCAAGGAAGGAUUCUGUCCUAUAUCCCCCCCGAGGGAGCAUGGCCCUGCCGACACCUUCAUUUCAGACUCUGGCCUCUAGAACUGUGAGAAACUAAGUUUCUGUUGUUGUCAGCCUCCCUCUUUGUGGGCAUUUGUACAUCAACCCUAGGAAACAAUGGCAUAAAUGGUAACACGUACCGAGAAGAAAAUAAGAUGGGCAAAUGAGACAAAAUAUAAACAGGGACACAGAUGUGACCACCAUAAAUGAUGGAGUCUGGAAGGCCCCAUUUAGGAUGUACCAGUUGAAUUCCCUGAGGACAUGGGAGAGGGGUGUUCUGAAUCUGAGGGCGAGGGGGCAAGUAUAAAGGGCCUAACCUGGGAAUUAAUUUGGUGUGUGCAAAGACCAGGAAGUGAGUGGUGCUGAUUAUGGGAGGUGCAGGGGAGAGUGGUAGGGAGAUGCUGAGACAGGAAGGAACCGGACCCUGUAGAGCCUUGUAACCUCAGAGACCUAACACUUACAAUGACUUGCAGAUGCCCUUACGAGCAGAGAAAGACGUACGGACUGAUUAAAUAAUGAGUAUAUGCCAAACAUUGUAGCAAUCGGAUUAAAACCCAGAACCUUUAUAAUCUUCCUCAUGUAAUCCCAUCCCACUGUUAAUUCAAUAUGAGUAAGAAUGUCACAAAUAGAACAUGUGAGGUCAAACACCACAGACACAGUAGAAAAUCCUCAGCGGGAUCCUUUAUUUUGUUCACUUGCUACUUACAAGGUGAAAUGUCAACCUGUAAAAGUUGUUUCUACCAGUUCAGCCAAUGGCCUGGAACAUCAUCGUGUCCUCGUUCCACGGUGUAUAGUCCCGGGGGGCAGAUCCAAGGGUCGCAGCUUCACAGGGACCAGACGGCGCGGGUUCCAGAGCUCGAGCUCUGCACACUGCGCUUCCCCAGGACCCCACAGCCUCAUUCCUCCUGGUGAUCAGCGAGGAAAUGGAUGGUAUUUCUAUUCACUUUUUCAAAGAUCAGACCUACCUCAUUUACAUGUCAAGAAAAUGUUCUCAAGUAAAAUAAAGUGUUUAUCAUUUUCCUAUA